Molecule: non-coding RNA, 204 nt
Filed under: Geosporobacter ferrireducens
Lineage: Bacteria; Bacillati; Bacillota; Clostridia; Peptostreptococcales; Thermotaleaceae
Description: T-box sequence
Rfam family: T-box leader
About the family: Uncharged tRNA acts as the effector for transcription antitermination of genes in the T-box leader family.
Source: RNAcentral
UCAAAGGCUUUGAACGGUAGUAGUAAAUGGUUGCUUAUUUGCAGAGAGUCGAUGGGUGGUGCGAAUCGACAAUAGAGACUGUUGAAUCCGACCGGGAGCUGUGCAGGGGUAAAAACCUGCGCCGGAAUUUUCCGUUAUCAAAUCGAGGCUGCAGUAGCAGUAAAAAAAGGUGGUACCACGUGGAUGUUGAUCUCCGUCCUUUAC